GGUUGAUCCUGCCAGUAGUCAUAUGCUUGUCUAAAAGACUUAAGCCAUGCAAGUGUAAGUAUAAGUAACUCGUACUUACGAGACUGCGAACGGCUCAUUAUAUCAGUUAUAGUUUAUUUGAUAAUCUUCUUUACUACUUGGAUAACCGUAGUAAAUCUAGGGCUAAUACAUGCGAAAAAGCGCGACUUUUUAGGAAGCGCUGUAUUUAUUAGAUUACAAAAUCAAUGCACUCCUCUGGAGUGGUCUCUUUGAUGAUCCAUAAUAACUUUGCGAAUCGCACGGCCUUGAGCUGGCGAUAUUUCAUUCAAAUUUCUGCCCUAUCAACUUUCGUCGGUAGUGUAGUGGACUACCGAGGUUUUUACGGGUAACGGAGAAUUAGGGUUCGAUUCCGGAGAGGGAGCCUGAGAAACGGCUACCACUUUCAAGGAAGGCAGCAGGCGCGCAAAUUACCCAAUCGCAACACGCGGAGGUAGUGACAAGAAAUAACGAUACGGGUCCAGAUUCUGGUCUUGUAAUCGGAAUGAGUACAAUUUAAAAUACUUAACGAGUAGCCAUUGGAGGGCAAGUCUGGUGCCAGCAGCCGCGGUAACUCCAGCUCCAAUAGCGUAUAUUAAAGUUGUUGCAGUUAAAAAGCUCGUAGUUGGAUCUUGGAGAAGUUGUGAGUGUUUGGUCCGCCUGAACGGCGAGUACUGGCGCUCUGUCUCUAUAGUUGGCGGUAACAUACAGGCGGUGCUUGAAUGCGCCGUGUGUUUGGGGAGCGGAGCGAUCCGUGCAACCGAGGGGUGGAGUGCGUGUGCGCUUGGACGGGUUAAUGCUCGGCUUGGUUCGUGCGUGCUUCAGUCAAUGUUCCGCCUUUUUUACUUUGAAAAAAUUAGAGUGUUUAAAGCAGGCCGAGUGUGGCCAUUGAAUACAUUAGCAUGGGAUAAUAGAACAGGACGUUGAGUUUUGUUUUGUUGGUUUUGAUGAGCUUACGUAAUGAUUAAAAGGGAUAGUUGGGGUUCUUUGUAUUGCGUAGUCAGAGGUGAAAUUCUUAGAUUUACGGAAGACAAACUACUGCGAAAGCAUUGAACCAGGAUGUUUUCAUUAAUCAAGAACGAAAGUUAGGGGAUCGAAGACGAUCAGAUACCGUCGUAGUCCUAACCAUAAACGAUGCGGACCAAGUAUUGGAGAACGUUAUGUUUUUUGAAGGCUCCUCCAGCACUUUGCGAGAAAUCACAAGUCUUUGCGUUCCGGGGGGAGUAUGGUCGCAAGGCUGAAACUUAAAGGAAUUGACGGAAGGGCACCACAAGGGGUGGAGCCUGCGGCUUAAUUUGACGCAACACGGGGAAACUCACCAGGCUCGGACAGCAGUAGGAUUGACAGAUUGAAAGCUCUUUCAUGAUUUGUUGGGUGGUGGUGCAUGGCCGUUCUUAGUUGGUGGAGUGAUUUGUCUGGUUGAUUCCGUUAACGAACGAGACUACCGCUUACUAAAUAGUUACUGGAAGAUAUUGCGU
This 1493-nucleotide ribosomal RNA is filed under the name metagenome. Its description in RNAcentral is "SSU rRNA". It matches the Rfam family "Eukaryotic small subunit ribosomal RNA", at positions 6 to 1377 of the family's 1831-position model. The record is from RNAcentral.